RNAcentral lists this long non-coding RNA (1009 nucleotides) under Pan troglodytes (chimpanzee). Its description in RNAcentral is "long non-coding RNA NONPTRT008479". Lineage: Eukaryota; Metazoa; Chordata; Mammalia; Primates; Hominidae. The record is from RNAcentral.
CGUUUCCGGGAGCCCGGCGGACGCUGGGUCUGCAGAUGCCAUCCAGGCGCACGGCGGGUAUAGUGGUUCCGCAACCUUGGGAUGUUCGGCCGAGCGCCUGCCUAACAUGGGAGCGCCUGCCUAACCCUCCUGACUGGAGGGUCAGCGGCGGGGAGUCCUGGCCUUCAAUCGGCCAUCGCCACGGCAGAAACUGGGGCCCGGGCCUUCCCCGUCCGUCCACAGGUCUCAUGGGCGCCCGGACUGGGGCUGAUGUAGUUUCCCGACCUCUGACACAUAGAAUCUGGAGAUUAAAGCUGCUCUGCUAAUAAUUAGGUUCCCACCUCUCAAGAUCAUUAGGAGCUUCUUUUCCAAUUUCUCUGUUUUGCAUGCAUUGGAAGGAUCUGGAGCUCAGGACCCACUACCUCCCCGGCCCACUGCAAGCUUGAACAUUUGAUGGUGGACACCCCUCCCUGACUUUGUAUUAUGGUCCAGAUUUUGGAUGAAUCUCUAUAAUGGAGAUUGAACAGUGUCACUGGCGUGGGGGUUACCUUCCCACUAUGUCCCCCAGAAGACAUGAGGCCACAGACUGCAGUGCCCGUGGACAGAGGAGCUGUGGGGAUGGAAGUGUGAUUGCUUCAUUCAAAUGCACGCCCCGGUGCGUGUGCGUCUCUUCUGAUGCAGCGCCCCAUGGACUGAGCAUCGCCCUGUUACCCAGGCUAAAGUGCAGUGGGAAGAUCUCAGCUCACUGCAACCUCUGCCUCCAAGGUUCAAGAGAUUCUCCUGCCUCAGCCUCCCAAGUAGCUGGGAUAAACUAAACUAAACUACUAAACUAAACUAAACUAAACUAAACUGCUAAACUAAGGGGUUUGGAGGGCUCCUGGAUUAUUGAACACGUAAAGGUUCCUGGAGGGUGGUGCAGCCAGAGACGGCAUGGAAGCUCUGCACCCCUCCCCCAUAUCUUGCCCUAUGCAUCUCUUCCUUCUGGCUGUUAAUCUGUAUCCUUGUCAAUAUCCUUUAUAAUAAAUGGGUA